GUCGAGGGCGGGUUGCCUCGCGCUGACCCUUCCCGCCCUCGUUACACACCAGGUCCCCGCGGAAGCGGCGGUGUCGGCGCCAUGGCGGAGCUGACGGCUCUUGAGAGUCUCAUCGAGAUGGGCUUCCCCAGGGGACGCGCGGAGAAGGCUCUGGCCCUCACAGGGAACCAGGGCAUCGAGGCUGCGAUGGACUGGCUGAUGGAGCACGAAGACGACCCAGAUGUGGACGAGCCUCUAGAGACUCCCCUUGGACAUAUCCUGGGACGGGAGCCCACUUCCUCAGAGCAAGGCGGCCUUGAAGGAUCUGGUUCUGCUGCCGGAGAAGGCAAACCCGUUUUGAGUGAAGAGGAAAGACAGGAACAGACUAAGAGGAUGUUGGAGCUGGUGGCCCAGAAGCAGCGGGAGCGUGAAGAGAGAGAGGAACGGGAGGCAUUGGAACGGGAACGGCAGCGCAGGAGACAAGGGCAAGAGUUGUCAGCAGCACGACAGCGGCUACAGGAAGAUGAGAUGCGCCGGGCUGCUGAGGAGAGGCGGAGGGAAAAGGCCGAGGAGUUAGCAGCCAGACAAAGAGUUAGAGAAAAGAUCGAGAGGGACAAAGCAGAGAGAGCCAAGAAGGUAGGUGACUGAGAAGACGCCACGGGUAAUGGAGCGGGCAGUAUGGUGGCAGUGUGGGCUCUCAGCCACCCCCACCGGCACCAGAGCCAGGUCCUGUUCCCUCUUCUCCCAGCCAGGAGCCUCCCAACAAGCGGGAGU
RNAcentral lists this small RNA (753 nucleotides) under Pongo abelii (Sumatran orangutan). RNAcentral describes it as "retained intron". Lineage: Eukaryota; Metazoa; Chordata; Mammalia; Primates; Hominidae. The record is from RNAcentral.